This is a regulatory RNA element of Cryptosporangium arvum DSM 44712, 134 nucleotides long. It matches the Rfam family "FMN riboswitch aptamer (RFN element)". From Rfam's summary of the family: The RFN element is a highly conserved domain that is found frequently in the 5'-untranslated regions of prokaryotic mRNAs that encode for flavin mononucleotide (FMN) biosynthesis and transport proteins. This element is a metabolite-dependent riboswitch that directly binds FMN in the absence of proteins. In Bacillus subtilis, the riboswitch most likely controls gene expression by causing premature transcription termination within the 5' untranslated region of the ribDEAHT operon and precluding access to the ribosome-binding site of ypaA mRNA. The record is from Rfam. Lineage: Bacteria; Bacillati; Actinomycetota; Actinomycetes; Cryptosporangiales; Cryptosporangiaceae.
ACGCGCGCUCCGGGGUCGGUGAAAUUCCGAACCGGCGGUUACAGUCCGCGACCCGCAAGCCCUUCGGGGCGAGCGGUUGACCCGGUGGAACUCCGGGACCGACGGUUAAAGUCCGGAUGGGAGGAAGCGCGCGG